This 5786-nucleotide long non-coding RNA is filed under the name Panax ginseng (ginseng). RNAcentral's name for it is "long non-coding RNA (PGIN_LNC001918)". The stretch from base 3936 to 4058 matches the Rfam family "MIR6135 microRNA precursor family". Lineage: Eukaryota; Viridiplantae; Streptophyta; Magnoliopsida; Apiales; Araliaceae. The record is from RNAcentral.
UCAUAAGGAAUAGUUCCAGCAACCAAUUCCCAUAAAAUUAGUCCAAAGCCAUAAACAUCAACCUUCCUGCCAUAUGACUUGCGUUUGAUCAUCUCAGGUGCCAUCCAGCGGUAGGUACCAGGGUCAUCGGCCAGAGAAUAACAACAUUCCUCCUCACAAGCUAUUCCAAAAUCCGCAAUUUUCAGCUGGAAAUCUUGAUUAAUAAGUAUAUUCUCAGGUUUGAGGUCCCUGUGUAUGACGCCUUGUGAGUGAAUGAAUUCCAUUCCCCGAGCAAUGUCCAAAGCCAUCGAGAUUAGUUUUUUUAAGGGAAGAGAUUUCUGCUCAAGCUUGUGCAGGUAUGCCCUCAAUGAACCCUCUGAGAGAUAUUCUGUGAUGAUGCAGAAGACUGGUGGCUUUCUGCAUGCCGCUACGAACUGCAAGUAAAAGGAUAAAAAUAUCAGAAGAAUCCAACAAGAAACCCUAUGUUACAUGGACUCAGGUGUACGUCCGGGCGAAUAAUCUUUGUGGCUCCCAAAUUAGGAUACGGAAAGUGUCCAAAUGAAGGCUACGUAUAGGUGGGGCAUGUAUUUCAUGAUUAAAUUCAAUAUAAUUUAGAUAAUUUUCUACUAUUAAUGUUCAAAGAUAUACAUUACUAAGGUUUAUAUCAGAUGGGAUGUUGUGGGGAAGGAGUUUCAACUUUUUCUUCACUAAAGAAGUAAGAAUCUUUCAUUAUUCAAUAAUACAAUCUCUUACUUUUUAUUCCACACAUACAUAUAAGAGAUUGGAGCACCAAUUUCGCACAAGGGUGUCGGACACAUAUCCCAUAACCUUGUCCAGGUUUACAAUGUCCCACCCGUGUAGUUCAACCACCAAGAAGUCCAAGCAACAUAGAAAUAAACAUUUUCCCGACAAUCUCACAAUUGAUACACGUUGCCGUGAUGCAGGUCCCAACAAUAUUUUGUAGGAAGGCCAUCUGGUUAAUUCGUUAAUUUAUAAAUUACACCAAUGGAAAAUGAUAAAAGCUCAAAUGUCAAUCAGUUUCUGCCAUUACAAAUCAGUUAAUGGUAGAUAAUUAUUACUACUUAUAAAAAAAGUACAUAGAUUUUUAAGAUAAAGAUAUUAUUAGUUGUGCACCUGCCGGACUUCCACAAUCACGGUAUGGAUUGAUAAAGAGGGGGGAGGAAGAUAUGAGCAGUUACCUUUAUGACAUUUUGGUGGUGCAGUCGAGUCAAAAGAUUUACUUCUCUUCUGAACUGCUUCUCUAACCGAGCUCCAAGGGCUCCAUCUUUGUCAUCAUCCUGAACCCUGAUAAUUUUUACAGCAACAGGUUCAUCCUUAUAAAUCCCAUGGGAAAGUUGACUAUGUGGAAGCUUCCAACCGAUGAUAAAUGGUGUGAGAAUACUUUGUUCUCCUUAUCCAUGAAGCCUCUUCCCCCAUUUUUGGCCCCACAAAAUGACCUGGUAACCACAAAUAGUAUUGUUCUUCUCCUAAUUCAGAAGAAUAGACGGUUCAAAAUCAAGAUCAUCCAUUAAAGAAUCUAUGUCAUUUGCAAAGCUCCAAGUAACAAUUUUUUCUAAACCAUCAACAGGACAAAAGUAAAGAAUCCAAAGCCACAUCAACGGAAAUAUUAAAGCCCUUCAAAAUCCAUGAAUACAGAAACCAAAAACCAUACCAACAUAAUCUAAUCAAAUAAUCCUACAAAGCCCAACUCACAAACACAGAUCAAAGAGAAUGAUCUCAAGCCUUGACCUAUUCACCAAAUAUAAGAAAAACUUGAUCUUUUUAAGCAAUCGGAAUCAAAAUCCCUCAGAAACUAUCAAAACUCAGCAAGAACCAUCAAAAUCAGCUGAAUUUUGAGCUCAACCAAACCUCAUCCAAAACAACAAAUCCUUUUAGCCUCAAAGUCAAAUACAACCUACCUUGAAAGCCUGGAAAUCCCCACAAACAAACAUAUAAAAAUUUAAACAAUUAACUAGCAAAUCAAUAUAAUAAACCCAAAGCGAAAAGUAUACUCAAUUAAAUUGAAAAUAAAGAUCCAAAUACAUUGAACUUACCAAAAGGGUGUAUCUAAUUUGGGUUACUGCUCUUGUUCUUCAACAAAAUUCCUGUUUAAAAGAAACCCACUUAUACCGUAUCGAUCUAUCUGUCUUUCUCUUCUCUCCCCCAUGAAUAAUUUCACAGAGAGAGAAGAAAAAGGUAGAAUUUCCAAGAAAGGCACUGAUUCAAAAGAAAAGACUCCCUGUUAAAUACUCCAAUUCCAUACAAAUGUAAACGUAAUGAAUACGGAUCCUUGUGAACCGUAGAUGAUUCUGUGGGGUCCGGUUUAGUUGCUGAGCCAUGGAGGGGGCGGUGGUGCUAGCUAUGGUCCAUGGACCUCCAAAAAGUCAAGAAAGAAGAAUAAAGAAGAGAGAGAAAAUAAAAAGGAAUUUAAUAAGAAGAAUACAAGCGUCAUUAUCGUAGAAUGAGGUACGGAAAAAGAGAGAUUUAUUUAGGAGAAAUAAAAUAGUAGUACUAGUAAUAACAAAUAGGGGCUGUUUGUAUACGGCGAAAGGAAACGCAUCGCACGGAUAUGUUGUGAUUCCUCUUUGGUUAGUUGGAAUAGUACGGAAUUGUCCAAUAUGGAUGAAUGAAAAUGUAAUUUUAUGGGUAAAUAGUUUAUAUUUGUUUGAUUAAAAGUUUGAUUCGAACAUUCAAAAUAUAAAUGAGUCAAAUAUGAAUAAAUUUUAAAGUUCGAUAAAUUACUCGACUAUCCUAAAAUUAUAAUUUUUUAUUGAUACUCGGAUCAUAUUCGUUCGAAAAAUUCAAACCGUUCGGGCUCGAUUCAAAAUCGUACCCAACUCGGUAGCCAAAUGAUUCUCAAUCAAACCUUAUUUAUACUCGAUAAAUUUUGUGAAUCAAAUUUAAGUAAUUCAAUACUCAGCUCGACUCGAUUCAUUUAUACCCUUACAUGAAAAUAUAAGAGAAAUUUUAGAAAAUAAAAUUAUUAUUUUUUUUAAAAAAAAGCAUCUUCCGAGUAUCGUUCUUUAAAUGGCUAAGAAACUAUAGAUCAAUUUUAUUUAACAAAUAUUUAAUCAAUUAUAAAUGCAAAAUGUUCAAAUAAAAAGGACAUACGUCACUAUAUAAGUUUGGGUAUGAAGUUAAAACUAACAUGCAAGUUAAAGGAGAAUAAAUGUUCUCAACUUUUAUUUAAACCUUACUAUGAAAGAAUAAUGUUAGAGACAUAACUUACUUUAUAAUUAUUUUAUAAUUUGUUGUUGUAGUAUAUUUUAUCUCAACUGUUAUGUGAGAUCGAAGAAUACAUUGAAGCAAUUUGUUCAUCGAUAUGCUGAAGUAGAGUAUGCCACAUUAACAAAUUAUAAAAUAAUUAUAGAAUAAAUUAUGUCUCUAAUAUAACUUAUUAUGAAAUACAAUUAAUAAAAAUAGAGAUCCACUCUAUAAUAUAAAAUAAAAAGAUUCAAAAUAAAUGACUUUAGCUCUAUAAAAAGAAUUAAUUCUUAAAAAUACAUGUCACAUCGAGGUAGUUGAGAAGAAAAAACUAGAAAAUCUAUUUACCAUCACCUCAAUUACAACAAAGUAUUUUUUAUUUGCCUUCUAAACUUUGUUUAUAGCUUUAAAAUCUUUCAAAAUUGGAGUAAAAUGGGAGAAAAAGAGUCGAGCCAUUGGGAUAGAGAGUGAGAAUGAUGUACAGCUAUUGAACCUUAUGGCCCAACAAACAUGUAAGUCAUAAGUCAUAACUGUUAUGGGCUCCAACACUAAAACACGUGAAACUUAACCUUUUUUUCGGACCAACGGAACAUGUGAUCUGGUGUUGGGCACAGAUAGGAUAGGAAGGCUUUUAUUAUUCAGAAGUUAUUACCUCUACGGGCUACAUUUUACUUCACUUUUAUCUCCAUAUAAUAUUAGACAGUACUUUACUUUUAAAUAAUUGCAACCCGAAAAAGUUGGAACUGAUUAGAAUAAAGUUUAUUUUUGGGUAAAUUGAUGAAUUGAUCAAUAGAGUGCUGAUACACAGACGAGACUCUAUGUGUGUCAGCAUUCUAUUGGUCAAUUGACCAACUUAUCAAAAAAAUAAACUGCAUACUAACCGAAUCCGAAAAAGUUACAAUGUGAGAACUCGAGUAGAUUUUAUUUUAGUGUCAAACCAGACAUUGAUUAAUCAUAUAGGAUGUAUUAUGUGGGUAGAAUAUUGAUCAAUACUGUUUUAUCAAAUUUUUGGCGAUUACUUUUGAUACCACAUACCGAACAAACAAAUAUUUCAUGCCAUUUGCACCUUUCACUAAGGUAAAUCAUAAUUACCAUUAUAUAUUGUUUGGGUGUGCACUAUUGAGCAAUGAGAUUGAUGAUACAUUUGUAUGGUUAUUUGAGCGGUGGCUUGAAGCAAUUAAUGAAUUUCAAAUCUCAUAAGCAUUGUCAUUGAUCAAGAUCGUGCUAUGUCGAAUGCAAUUGCUAGGGUUUUUUUUCUCAUACCCACCAUGCAUUGUGUUCGUGGCAAAUUAGUAAAAAAUAUCCUAAAAAAUUUGACCAUGUCUAUUUUUCGUAUUUGACUUUUAAGUCAGAUUUUAACUACUUUAUCUUCAAGUCUUUGAGUAUACAAGAAUUUGAGAAUAAAUGUAAAUUGUUGAUGGAAAACUACGGACGGCAUAAUCACGAAUGGUUGAAAUGUUUAUAUGAAUUAAAAGAAAAAUGGGUCGGGGUAUAUUCAAAAAAAUUCUAUGCAGCGAAAAUGACUACCACAAAGCUAAAAUGUAAAUAGUAGUCGCAGGGGUCGCCUAUACUCCCGACGUUGAUCGUCUUAUUCUCUCUUGAUUAUGGCAUGUACAUUCAAUCUUCUCCCUUUUGUGCAAAGAAUCUAUGAAAGUCUGAAGACUAUGUGGAGACUCGAAGAUUGGGAAGGUAUAGAGUAAAGGUAUAUCUAAGUGGUCUUCAAUAAGGUAGAACAAGAGUCCUACUUGUAAUAUUAUGAUCAGUUCUAUAAAUAUUCAAAUUGUGCGGAUAUAUAUAUAUAUAUAUNNNNNNNNNNNNNNNNNNNNNNNNNNNNNNNNNNNNNNNNNNNNNNNNNNNNNNNNNNNNNNNNNNNNNNNNNNNNNNNNNNNNNNNNNNNNNNNNNNNNUCAAGCUUGUGCAGGUAUGCCCUCAAUGAACCCUCUGAGAGAUAUUCUGUGAUGAUGCAGAAGACUGGUGGCUUUCUGCAUGCCGCUACGAACUGCAAGUAAAAGGAUAAAAAUAUCAGAAGAAUCCAACAAGAAACCCUAUGUUACAUGGACUCAGGUGUACGUCCGGGCGAAUAAUCUUUGUGGCUCCCAAAUUAGGAUACGGAAAGUGUCCAAAUGAAGGCUAUGUAUAGGUGGGGCAUGUCUUUCAUGAUUAAAUUCAAUAUAAUUUAGAUAAUUUUCUACUAUUAAUGUUAAAAGAUAUACAUUACUAAGGUUUAUAUCAGAUGGGAUGUUGUGGAGAAGGAGUUUCAACUUUUUCUUCACUAAAGAAGUAAGAAUCUUUCAUUAUUCAAUAAUACAAUCUUUUACUUUUUAUUCCACAUACAUAUAAGAGAUUGGAGCACCAAUUCCGCACAAGGUUGUCGGACACAUAUCCCAUAACCUUGACCAGGUUUACAAUGUCCCACCCGUGUAGUUCAACCACUAAGAAGUCCAUGCAACAUAGAAAUAAACAUUUUCCAGACAAUCUCACAAUUGAUACACGAUGCCGUGAUGCAGGUCCCAACAAUAUUUUGUAGGAAGGCCAUCUGGUUAAUUCGUUAAUUUAUAAAUUACACCAAUGGAAAAUGAUAAAAGCUCAAAUGUCGAUCAGUUU